GUUCGUGAGCAUCAAAACUGACGCUGCUUGUUGUUGGGAAACACAAGUGAGGAUGUUAAAUUGAGCAAGGUGUGCCGUCCAAGAGAAGAUUCGGCAGCUGAAGACGGGCCCGCGAUGGGUUCCGGAGAUUGGACGAAGACGAACCCUCGGUGGAUGCUGGAGGUCGGACAGAAGAUGAAGAGGAGCAAGUGCCAAUAGUAGUUACGACAAAUGCAGAACGUUACAUCUGAAAGCCACGGUAUCACUGGUAAUGAAGCCAAUCCUUGUCACAGGACAGAACCCACACCCAAGUCAACACAAAAUGAGGAAGGAGCAUACAGGGGAGGAACAGCAGCAUCAGAACCCUACCAUGGAUUGUCACUGGGAAAACCAAGGCAUCACAACUGACCAGAAGUAGCUGGAGCUAAUGGCGAUUGAAAAUCAAGCUGGACUCCUUUGCAGUGUCAUUGGAUUCACCAUAAGGGCAAAGCCAGAAGAAAGAUGUCAAACAGCCUGACCAGCUCGGAGAGGAUUCUGCUGGCAAGAUAGAAUCUCUGGGAAUGACGCAUCUUUUUACCAAUGAACGGAGCCCUCACCAAUUCAACCAGUCAAAAGAAAGCACAUGCUAAGCAAUAACAAAUAAAGAAAAUUUUAUAUUGGCAUAUAUUGGAGUUGAUAUACAUUACAGCAAUCGAAUUGAUAUCUUGUCUCAUUAUGUUAUUAUUAGUUAUGGGAAAGUAGACCAACAAUCAUUGUGGAGCAGCCAUUCUGAUGCAGUCUGUUGUGGUUUAUAAGGAAUGUGUUGCUGGUGCAAUGUGGUUCAAGAACCUGAUGGUUGACAGGGAGAUGCUGUUCUUGAACUUUGAAAGACCAGUCCUUGGGCUGCUGAGGGUCUUUUAAGAGGCACCAUAAAGAGCUGCAAUUUGCAUUUUUAGUCUGGAUGCCUUAUUACUUUAUUUGCUGACAUAUAUAGCCUUCGUGUGAAGUUCAGACCAGCAUUUUAUCUUCAGGCUGGGUAGAAAGUUUGUGGUAUUUAGCCACAAUGCAAGUGUGAUGUGAACAUAACGUGUUGUAUUGAUUAAUCCAUAUAAUGAUAGGGGAUGGAUGCAAUAUCUCUCCAAUAGCCAUAUCUCUCCAAUUGGUUGUUGGGUUUCUGCAAUGUGGUUUGAGCUUGACAAAAAGCUGUUUUAAACCUGGAGGGGAUAGUUCUCUGGUUCCUGUAUUAUCUUUCUGAUGAUAGCAGCCGAAGGGCCUGUUUUUGCGCUGUAUCUCUAAACUAAACUAAUUCACUGAUUCUCUUGUGCCCUUGUCUCUGUCUCCGAUUUCACCAACGGAUACGGAGGACUUCCACUCCCAGUAACCUUCCUCCUCAACCCUCCUUCUAUGCUGUCUUGGGCAAGCACAAGUCACCAGUCGUCUAUAUUGAUGGACCCAUGCUCUCAGAUCUUGGCUAUCAUGGACCUUCUGUGGACCAAUGAGCUUAACCUGGGAAAUCUGCACACUGACAGUUGCCGUCUUGCCCGAGGAGAUCCAGAGCAUCUGCAAUGUUCCCUCGCUCAUUCCAACAAAGCCUCUGCUGGGUUCGAUCCAGAGUAUGAGGCACUGCCCUAACCAUUAGAGAUGGAUGCCAUGUUGAAAAUAACCAAGCAUUCAGAAAGGAAUGGAUGGAUCCUGCUUCUUACUGCUCCCUCCAGCAAGAUGGCGGUGAUACACUUCAUCCUCCAGAUCACCACAACAGCAGUCUGCAGUACCAUCGGGCAGCUCAUUAUGAUGAUGGUAGCCGGAAUCACCAGGACAAUGGUCCAGACUUCCAAUUUGUACAUUGACAUAAUUGAAACCGCCUUAUUGGGUUAAAGCACAGAAUGGAUUUAGAUGAAGGAAAUAAUAUGAGCCACUGAAUUACAUCAUCACCAAAAAAGCAUACCAUCGUUUCUACUUCCUCAGAAGACAAAGAUAUUUGACAUUAAUUUAAAGACUUUUACCAACUUCUACAGUUGAACUGUAGAAAGCGUACUGCUGGGUUGUAUCACAGCUUGGUUUGGGAACAGCUUUGCCCAAGACCACAAGAAAUUGCAGAGUUGUGGAUCACUCCAGCACACAGACCAGACUUCCCACCAUUGACUACAUCUACACUUCAUUCCCUUGGGAAAGCAGCCAACAUAAUCAAAGACCUUUUCCACCCUUGUCAUUUCCACUUUUCCCUGCUUCCACCAUAAAGAGGAUAUAAAAACUUGAAAGCGCGUACCUUCAGACUCGGGUGCAGCUUCUUCCCCUGUUAUUUGAAUUCUGAAUGGUCCUUCCUGAAGCUAGGAUACAUUUCCUAAUUUCCAACCAACAUCAUUGUGACCAUUGGACUUUUUCCUCAGAUUAUGCUACAAUGUUGAAAAACUGUAUGCUGCACUAUGCAUGUUUCUCCUCUCUAUCUAUUGUGCUUGUGCAUGGCUUGAUUGUACAGUAUCACCUGAUUUAAUUGCAUAGCAUGCAAACAAAAGCUUUUCACUGUAUCUCAGUGUACACAACAAUAAAGCAAUUUA
Amblyraja radiata (thorny skate) is the source of this 2513-nucleotide long non-coding RNA. RefSeq lists it as uncharacterized. Lineage: Eukaryota; Metazoa; Chordata; Chondrichthyes; Rajiformes; Rajidae. The record is from RefSeq and is a predicted model, not a curated record. The transcript has 3 exons.